Molecule: ribosomal RNA, 253 nt
Filed under: uncultured bacterium
Lineage: Bacteria
Description: partial 16S ribosomal RNA
Rfam family: Bacterial small subunit ribosomal RNA
Source: RNAcentral
UACGUAGGGGGCUAGCGUUGUCCGGAAUCAUUGGGCGUAAAGCGCGUGUAGGCGGUCCGGUAAGUCCGCUGUGAAAGUCGGGGGCUCAACCCUCGAAUGCCGGUGGAUACUGUCGGGCUAGAGUGCGGAAGAGGCGAGUGGAAUUCCUGGUGCAGCGGUGAAAUGCGCAGAUAUCAGGAGGAACACCUAUUGCGAAGGCAGCUCGCUGGGACGUAACUGACGCUGAGACGCGAAAGCGUGGGGAGCAAACAGG